Long non-coding RNA from Tribolium madens (black flour beetle), 1892 nucleotides. RefSeq lists it as uncharacterized. The transcript is spliced from 3 exons. The record is from RefSeq and is a predicted model, not a curated record. NCBI's taxonomy places the organism in Eukaryota, Metazoa, Arthropoda, Insecta, Coleoptera, Tenebrionidae.
GUGGCGAGAGCAGAAAAUUUUUGGUCGACUGUAAUUUUGCGAGCAAGAAAAAUAUUACUUAUUGCUAACUAACUUCACCGACGUGCUUUCUGUUAGUUAUCAAUUAGUUGUCAUUUCGACGGAACUGCGGCUUGUGAAAAAUGAACGAAAAUGAAAGAGAAGAUGUUGUUUUUAAUGGAAUUUGCACUCUACCCGAGAUUAUCGAAGCAGCGGCCUCGGCAACUGCUAGUUUAUUGCCGGAAAAAUCAAAAAGUCAGUACAAACGUGCAUAUAAACUUUUCCAAGAUUGGGGUCAAGAAAUUAAAUAAAUUCUUUAUCUGAGAAUGUGCUGCUUGCAUAUUUUCAAGAUCUUUAGAAAAGGAUGAAACCGUCUUCUUUGUGGACAGUCUACUCAAUGUUGCGGAUGACGCUUAACCUAAAAAACAAUGUUGACAUGAGAAAAUAUCCCAAAUUGUGUGCGUUGCUGAAGGGUAAAUCUGAUGGUUAUAAACCUAAAAAGUCGAAAACAACAAAUUAAAGAAUUGUUAUCGUUUGCUUCUGACAAGGAAUACAAUUUACAAAGGUAAACUAUAAUACCAAAUUAAAUUAAAAUUAAGUACAAAUAUUUUUUUAUUUACGUAUUUUUUUGGUGGUGAUCGUAGAAAAAGUAUAGUAUGUAACACGUGUAUAAACUUCUCUAGACAUUCAUUUUAUUAAACACUUGCUCGGCUCCUCUGCGCUUCGCUCGUGCCUAAUAAAACUCAUGUCUAAAGUGGCGUUUAUAACACUAGUUGCAUGAUACACUAUUUUGAUCGCACGCUACUUAUAACAAUAUUAGUAUGUUUCUUGUAAUUUGUUUUAAUAGUUUUUAUUAGAAGUAAUUACUAAUUAGAAACAUUAUCUUUUGCGAAUAUCUUAUGAAUAGAUAAUCCUAUUCAACUUUACCACUGCUGUGCUCCUGAUACCACAAUUUUGUUUUUGAACGGUUUGCGACAUUCCAGUUUAGCUCUCGGAAACAUUUUGUUUGUAAAUGUGUGAAUAUUAAAUUAAUUAGUUUUACUAGAAAUUUUUUUUUUAAAAGGUGCCCUUUUAAAUGUACUGAAAAAAACUUUUAUAAGUAAUUAAAUAUUUUCUAUUCAUUAACAAAGUGUUUAGUACUCGACUGUUCAGGGGUAUUAAAAAAGUACUUUUUUUUUUUAAUGACAAAGCCAUAAAUUUACAAUCCUGUUACUUCGGUGAUAAAAUCACGAAGCACAGCUACGUUUGAAUAAACUCCUGGAAAAUUAGGGCGAGCACAUCCUGCCCCCCACGAAACAAUUCCCCCAAGAACAUCACCCACGACCAGUGGACCACCAGAAUCUCCUUGGCAGGAGUCUUUACCUCCACCAUUCACUCCAGCACACAACAUGCGUGUAGUUAUAAUAUCUUCACCAGCCGAGGAAAGAAUACUUGAACCUUCUUCGGUAGUUCCCCAGCCACUUACAAGAACUUCUGUAUCAUCAGGCCAGACCUGUCCAUUUUCUGGCAAUUUAACAGGAGCUACCUUAUUUGACAGUUCCAAAGGAGUGGCCAGUUCCAAAAUGGUGAUAUCGUAAUCGAUAUUACUGUAAUCAAACUUAGGGUUUUGGUGGAUUUUCGCAAUUUUUACUUCUUGGCCUCCUGAUCCUCGAAUGGAAGUUCCUGCACGAAUGGAAAUGUUAUCUUCUAACCACCGCAGAUGUGAGAACCAUAAUACUGGAAAGAAACUUGCCAAGGUACCUGUUCAAUAGGAAUAUCGGAACCUCCGACGAUUCUUCCGUCGGGAAAGAAUUUGUUCUUGCGAAGGAACGGUGGAACCGCUUUUAAUUAAUUUGUUAUUUAAUGUUUUAAAACAGAAGAAAAAUGGAUUACCUGAGACGGUUGCCAAUACUAGU